Molecule: long non-coding RNA, 514 nt
Organism: Juglans microcarpa x Juglans regia
Lineage: Eukaryota; Viridiplantae; Streptophyta; Magnoliopsida; Fagales; Juglandaceae
Exons: 3
Source: RefSeq, a predicted model, not a curated record
CUGUUGGCAAAAAAAAAAGCCUUCCUUCAUUUCCCUUGAUUCUUUUCAUUCCAAAGAAUAGAACAUGGCCGAGGUGGGUGUGGUAUUUCUCUCUGUCAUCCUUGGAGGGGCCUUUGAUAAAAUGGCUUCUCCAGGGGACAUUGAUUUCAUUCGCGGAUGAAAACCAACCGACGCACUCUUAAAGAAAUUGGAGAUAGCAUUGCUGUCAAUAAAUGUGGUGUUUGAAGAUGCAGAAGAAAAGCAAGUUACGAAUCCUAAUGUAAAAAGGUGGAUUGAUGAGCUAAAAGAUGUUGCCUACGAUGCAUAAGACAUAUUGGAUUAGAUUGCUACUAAGCCCUCCGACGCAAGUUGGAUGCUGAAUUCCAACCAGUUGCGAGAAAGGUACGAAACUUUAUCCCUAGAACUUUCCAUAAUCCUUUUGCCCAUCGAGUAGAGCCAAAGAUAAAGAGGUACUUGUUAAACUGGAACAUCUAGCAACACAAAAGGAUGUUAUGGGUCUACGAGAAGGAUUUGA